This 377-nucleotide ribosomal RNA is filed under the name uncultured Glomeromycotina. RNAcentral describes it as "LSU rRNA". The record is from RNAcentral. Lineage: Eukaryota; Fungi; Glomeromycota.
UUGAAAGGGAAACGAUUGAAGUCAGUCGUACCAGCGGGAAAUCAACCUUUCGAGUGGGGGUUUUGGAGUUUUUUGAAGAGUGUCAAAACCUUUGAGAUUUCAAAAUAUUCGCUCUUUUGGUGUACUUUCUCGUGGGUAGGUUAACAUCGAUUUUGAUCAUCAUAAAAAGGUUGGAGGAAUGUAGCUUCGAUCUUGUAUUGAAGUGUUAUAGCCUUUGGUAAAUGUGAUGAUUAGGAUCGAGGAUUGCAACGAAUACCCUUUUGGGCUAUCCGCCUGAUCUCUGAUACGUGGCCUUGGUAUCGAAAGCGUGCUUAUGGUAUUAAGGUAUUACGGUCAAAAGGUUAGAACGGAUUACAUUCGUUAAGGAUGUUGACGUA